GUGAUUAAUUCGAUGCAACGCGAAGAACCUUACCUACCCUUGACAUGUCCGGAACUUGCCUAGAGAUGGCUUGGUGCCCGAAAGGGAACCGGAACACAGGUGCUGCAUGGCUGCCGUCAGCUCGUGUCGUGAGAUGUUGGGUUUAAGUCCCGCAACGAGCGCAACCCUUGUCCUUAGUUGCUACGCAAGAGCACUCUAAGGAGACUGCCGGUGACAAACCGGAGGAAGGUGGGGAUGACGUCAAGUCCUCAUGGCCCUUAUAGGUGGGGCUACACACGUCAUACAAUGGCCGGUACAGAGGGUAGCCAACCCGCGAGGGGGAGCCAAUCCCACAAAGCCGGUCGUAGUCCGGAUCGCAGUCUGCAACUCGACUGCGUGAAGUCGGAAUCGCUAGUAAUCGCGGAUCAGCAUGUCGCGGUGAAUACGUUCCCGGGUCUU
RNAcentral lists this ribosomal RNA (438 nucleotides) under uncultured beta proteobacterium. RNAcentral describes it as "bacterial SSU rRNA". It matches the Rfam family "Bacterial small subunit ribosomal RNA", at positions 941 to 1382 of the family's 1533-position model. The record is from RNAcentral. Lineage: Bacteria; Pseudomonadati; Pseudomonadota; Betaproteobacteria.